CAGCCUAACACAUGCAAGUCGAACGGCAGCACAGAGGAGCUUGCUCCUUGGGUGGCGAGUGGCGGACGGGUGAGGAAUACAUCGGAAUCUACUUUUUCGUGGGGGAUAACGUAGGGAAACUUACGCUAAUACCGCAUACGACCUACGGGUGAAAGCAGGGGAUCUUCGGACCUUGCGCGAUUGAAUGAGCCGAUGUCGGAUUAGCUAGUUGGCGGGGUAAAGGCGCACCAAGGCGACGAUCCGUAACUGGUCUGAGAGGAUGAUCAGUCACACUGGAACUGAGACACGGUCCAGACUCCUACGGGAGGCAGCAGUGGGGAAUAUUGGACAAUGGGCGCAAGCCUGAUCCAGCCAUACCGCGUGGGUGAAGAAGUGCCUUCGGGUUGUAAAGCCCUUUUGUUGGGAAAGAAAUCCAGCCGGCUAAUACCUGGUUGGGAUGACGGUACCCAAAGAAUAAGCACCGGCUAACUUCGUGCCAGCAGCCGCGGUAAUACGAAGGGUGCAAGCGUUACUCGGAAUUUACUGGGCGUAAAGCGUAGCGU
Molecule: ribosomal RNA, 542 nt
Filed under: uncultured bacterium
Lineage: Bacteria
Description: bacterial SSU rRNA
Rfam family: Bacterial small subunit ribosomal RNA
Source: RNAcentral